CUACCCUGGGGUGAGGAAUACCAGCGAGAAAUCGUUGACAAUUCCGCAUAGGCUCUCGUUUCCGCAAGGAGGGAGAGCAAAGCCUGGUUCGUGAGAGCGAGCGAGGUGCCCUGGGAGGAGCCUGCGUCCGAUUAGCUAGUUGGGGGGUGACGGCCUCCCAAGGCGACGAUCGGUAGCUGGUCUGAGAGGACGAUCAGCCACACUGGGAUUGAGAACGGCCCAG
RNAcentral lists this ribosomal RNA (223 nucleotides) under uncultured bacterium. RNAcentral's name for it is "partial 16S ribosomal RNA". It matches the Rfam family "Bacterial small subunit ribosomal RNA", at positions 126 to 334 of the family's 1533-position model. The record is from RNAcentral.